GACGAACGCUGGCGGCGUGCUUAACACAUGCAAGUCGAACGGAAAGGCCCUGCUUUUGUGGGCUGCUCGAGUGGCGACCGGGUGAGUAACACGUGAGUAACCUGCCCUUGACUUUAGGAUAUCUUCAGGACACUGGGGCUAAUCCCGGAUAGGAGCUCCUGCUGCAUGGUGGGGGUUGGUUAGUUUCGGCGGUUGGGGAUGGACUCGCGGCUUAUCAGCUUGUUGGUGGGGUAGUGGCUUACCAAGGCUUUGACGGGUAGCCGGCCUGAGAGGGUGACCGGCCACAUUGGGACUGAGAUACGGCCCAGACUCCUACGGGAGGCAGCAGUGGGGAAUAUUGCACAAUGGGCGGAAGCCUGAUGCAGCAACGCCGCGUGCGGGAUGACGGCCUUCGGGUUGUAAACCGCUUUCGCCUGUGACGAAGCGUGAGUGACGGUAAUGGGUAAAGAAGCACCGGCUAACUACGUG
This 468-nucleotide ribosomal RNA is filed under the name uncultured bacterium. RNAcentral's name for it is "partial 16S ribosomal RNA". It matches the Rfam family "Bacterial small subunit ribosomal RNA", at positions 28 to 507 of the family's 1533-position model. The record is from RNAcentral.